RNAcentral lists this long non-coding RNA (2304 nucleotides) under Eurytemora carolleeae. Its description in RNAcentral is "uncharacterized LOC111711028". The record is from RNAcentral. Lineage: Eukaryota; Metazoa; Arthropoda; Copepoda; Calanoida; Temoridae.
AUAUAUAGAAUAUAGAUAAACAUAGUUACAUUAUAGUUACAUUGCAUAUAUAUAUAUAUAGAUUAUAAAUGGAAAUUUUGAGAACUAUAUUAUGGUAAGUUUGUGAUAAGCUAUAGAAAUAUUAUAGGUUAGAAGUUAGAGAUUUUGAGAUCCUUGAUUGGUUAGUUGUUUAGGAUAUAUGUUAUAAACAAUAGAUAUUUUUCACUUCAUGCUUAGAUUGUAGAUAGAUGAAAAGAUAGAACUUAUGAGCUUGCUUUCUCUUAUUAUUUAAAGUUAGUUAGGUAGUAAGAUGGUUAGUUUAGCAAGAAUGGUUGAGUUUAGAGUAGAAUACCUGAAACCAGUUUUCAGGCAGUAGUUUAGGCAUAUACAAGCAAUACGGACAACACUGGGUAUAUGUUUAGACAUAACCUUAGAUAUAACCAUACUUCCACUCACUUACCUAAACACUCAUCAGUAUAUCUUUAGUGUUUAAAGUCAAAUAUAGACCCAUUCUAAAGUUUGGUUUCAGUUAACUGGAUUUUAUAUCAGGCAUUCUAAUCCAGUAUUGCUGACAGCUAUUUUAAAUCAGUUCCGGUGUUAGCUAUUUCUAACCUAAAUAGCUCUCGAAUAAGCUAUUCUAAACCUAAUUAUAGUUCCGGUGCCAGCUAUCUUUAACCUGAUCAGCUCUCAUUUCAGUUAUUCAACCUUAAUCAACUCUACUGUUAGCUAGUCUAAACCAAAUAAGCUCCGGUGGCAGCUAUUCUAAACCUGAUCAGCUCUCGUUUCAGUUAUUCAACCUUAAUCAACUCUACUGUAAGCUAGUUUAAACCUAAUCAGCUCCGGUGUCAGCUAUCCUAAACCUGAUCAGCAUUCGUUUGAACUGCUGACUAGUUAAAACCAAAUCAACUCUAGUGGCAGCUAUCCUGUAUUUGAAUAGCUCAGCGACAUCUUUCUUACAUUUAAUCAGCUCUGGUACCUGCUAUUCUAGGUUUAAUCAGCUCUGGUUUCAGUGAUUCUAUAGAUAUAAUUUGCCUAGAUAUUACCUAUCAGCUAUUUAGGUGAAUACUUGAAUCUAUCAGUUAAUCAGUUGUAUCCCUGAACCAUCAGAUAAUUAGCUGUAUCUCUGAACCACCAGUUAGUCAGCUGUACUCUGCAGUAAUCAGUUAAUCCCUGUACCCAACAAUUUAUCAGCUGUAUUUCUGAACCCAUCAGUUAAUCCCUGACCUCAUCAAUUUAUCAGAUCUGUAUCCCUGAAUUCAUCAGUUAAUCAGCCGUGUGAAUAUGUAUCAACAACCAUGGUAUCACAUGGACCCUGUCUGGAACCAUUUUGACCGGGGUUUCUACUGCCUGGCAUUUGUAGGAUAUAUCUUCUUAUAUGUUAUCUGGGUAAACCGAGUCAUGGCAAUUCCGACUCCUUCCAUCGAUUUCUUUGUUUCAACACAGAAUGAAGAUGAAGAUGCUCAUGAAGACAUUGAGGAGUCCAACUGGUGAUAUACAUAUCUUAAGAUAAUGAUAAUGAUGACGAUAAUAAAUAUGAAGAUGAUCUUAAGAUGAUUAUGAUGAUGCAGACAUUGAGCUUGAACAGUCCAGCUGGUGAUCCUAUCAAAGAAGAAGAUGACGUCCGUAAUGAUGAAGACAUUGAGCAGUCCAACUGGUGAUCCUAUCACGAUAUAUUUAACUGGAUGAUGAUGAUAAUAAUAAUGAAGACAUUAAGCAGUCCAUCAUGAUGAUGAUGAUGAUGAUAAUAAUAAUGAAGACAUUGAGCAGUCCAGCUGGUGGUCCUAUCAAGAUAUAUUUAACUAGAUGGUGAUGAUGAUGAUAAUAAUGAAGACAUUGAGCAGUCCAACUGGUGAUCCUAUCAAGAUAGAUAUAUAAAGAUAAUGAUGAUGACGUUGAUGACGAUGAUGAUGAUGAUGAUUGUCUUAAUGACUGAAUUUAUCCUAUAUAGAUUCUUUUUAAAAAGUACGCUGAUUAGUAGUUGAUUUCUAUUCUUUGGAUCAAUUAUUCACUUUGAACAUUCCCAGGACGUACUUGAAAAUACAUUGUUAUGCAAACUAGCAGAUAAAUCUCUGACACUGUUAGGUUGCCAAGCCAGGGCCAUUUGGUCUUUCGAUCACGUGGAUACAUGGUCAGAAGGGUUGGAAAAGUGUAAAAAAAGUUGUCUUAAAAUUUGAGUUAUUUUUCAAUUAUAAGAUUAAAUUUUUCAUCUUUUUAGAAUUGAUGGAACAGUUUUCAGACCCUUGUAUAUGAAAGUCUUUAUUUUUUUCUUAUACAAUGUAAUGUAUUUUCUGUGAUUUUAAAAAUAAAUUGUUCUUUAAAUCUUUA